CCUGAGAAACCCAAAAGAUCGAAUGGGGAGAUUCAUCGUCAGCUCAUUUUGUAUAUGUAUAAGUUAUGAUGCGGGUUACUACUUGUAGUAUUGCCUGCACAUUCUUGUAUAUUUAGUUGCAAGAUGUUGUCGGCGUGCACUUCUCCCCUAGUAGGACGUCGCGACCUGUUGGGUGUCGGUCUACGGCCCAAGUGAUAGCCUUUAAUGUAAUUUAAAAAACAUUGAAGAUCCUUGGUGUUUUCUGACCGGCUACUUGGCAGUAUUCGUACGGUAUUUAGCCGCUAAAUUUAUUAAGCGUCCAUAUCCAUCACAAGCGAGGCUAAUUUACUGAUAGUACGGACCUAGUGCCGUCGUUGGUAUUGGCCAGCUGUUGGUUGAUGGUAUUCUAGGACUGGCUAAAAUUAAUUACCGGUCGGCGAUGCUACUGCUUUGGGUACUUUCAG
RNAcentral lists this ribosomal RNA (443 nucleotides) under Aleiodes cacuangoi. RNAcentral describes it as "LSU rRNA". Lineage: Eukaryota; Metazoa; Arthropoda; Insecta; Hymenoptera; Braconidae. The record is from RNAcentral. RNAcentral also lists the same sequence under 1 other name.